Molecule: transfer RNA, 77 nt
Filed under: Thermococcus piezophilus
Lineage: Archaea; Methanobacteriati; Methanobacteriota; Thermococci; Thermococcales; Thermococcaceae
Description: tRNA-Ala
Rfam family: tRNA
About the family: Transfer RNA (tRNA) molecules are approximately 80 nucleotides in length. Their secondary structure includes four short double-helical elements and three loops (D, anti-codon, and T loops).
Source: RNAcentral
GGGCCGGUAGCUCAGCCUGGUACGAGCGCGCCUUGGCAAGGCGGAGGCCCCGGGUUCAAAUCCCGGCCGGUCCACCA